RNAcentral lists this long non-coding RNA (1030 nucleotides) under Cyanistes caeruleus (blue tit). Its description in RNAcentral is "lncRNA (ENSCCEG00000020024.1)". The record is from RNAcentral. Lineage: Eukaryota; Metazoa; Chordata; Aves; Passeriformes; Paridae.
UCAUCAAAUUAUCUGUUAUCACCACUUCUGACAGGGAAACAGUGAGAAGCUGGAUUUGUGUACCUAGGCCUUGCUCCCCCACUUUGGACAAGGCUCUCUAGUAAAGAGUGUUACAGACCAGUCAAGCCCCAAGUGUGUGAAGACAUGGUCAAGAUCCUUCAAAGCUCCGACACAAAUUCUUACUUUAGCUUGUUUUAGGUUCAUCUUCAGCAGUACUACAAGGUUUAAACCUGGUAGCAAUAUAGCCAAACAUAACAAAAAAGAACAAUCAUGAAGAGGGAUGAGGCAAACACUUUCCAGAACUGGAGUAUUUCUGAUACCUCAUAGUUUGGUACCAUUGAAGAUCUGCUGGUUUUAGAGACACUUUCCCUUAUGUGAAUGAGUAUGCAAUGAGUAUUUGAUGAAGUGGUGAAUUCCUUGCUCUCCAUUUUCCUUUGCCAGGUGGUCUCACAGGAACUGUAUCAUUUCAUGCUGGAGUUUCCCUUUUGAUUUGCUUCCUGGGUUUGUUUUUCUAAUUUUACAGAGCACUGGGAGCUCUGGAAGUGAACCCAGACAAGAAGAGGUCAUGGCUGGAGGAGCAAAGCACACAUGGGACUGUGUUUCUUUUCAGCAGAUGGUAGCCAUGCACUGCUCAAACAGAGCUGUCUUGCUGCAUCCAUGGACAAAUGGGAUGAUUAGGGCAUCCUUUGAGCACUGAAGAGAAGAAGAUAUAGAUUCCUACAAGCUGAAGAGGAAAAGAAGCCUCAAUUCCCACCUCCUGACUCAGUGUUCUAUCCAGAAAGAUGCACCGUGGGAGAUAAUCGCAGGCACUGCGACUGAUUCUAUCUCUGCUUGAGAAAAAACGGACUGAUCCUUCUGCUUCUUAAACAAAACAAGCAAACAAAGAGCAGUUUUAGGAAGAUGAUUAUUCUGGAGAGGAUUUUGGAGUCAGGAUCCAGAGCAAUGCCUGCAUGCAGCCCAAGGUAGGCUGUUAUGUUUUGGAGAGAGGGUUUGUCUAUCUAUUUUUGGUUCAAGUUUGGUUGAAAAAUUC